CGCAAUAGCUCAGUCGGUAGAGCACGUCAUUCGUAAUGACGGGGUCGGGGGUUCGAAUCCCUCUUGCGGC
Molecule: transfer RNA, 70 nt
Filed under: uncultured Bradyrhizobium sp.
Lineage: Bacteria; Pseudomonadati; Pseudomonadota; Alphaproteobacteria; Hyphomicrobiales; Nitrobacteraceae
Rfam family: tRNA
About the family: Transfer RNA (tRNA) molecules are approximately 80 nucleotides in length. Their secondary structure includes four short double-helical elements and three loops (D, anti-codon, and T loops). Further hydrogen bonds mediate the characteristic L-shaped molecular structure. tRNAs have two regions of fundamental functional importance: the anti-codon, which is responsible for specific mRNA codon recognition, and the 3' end, to which the tRNAs corresponding amino acid is attached (by aminoacyl-tRNA synthetases). tRNAs cope with the degeneracy of the genetic code in two manners: having more than one tRNA (with a specific anti-codon) for a particular amino acid; and 'wobble' base-pairing, i.e. permitting non-standard base-pairing at the 3rd anti-codon position.
Source: RNAcentral